RNAcentral lists this ribosomal RNA (504 nucleotides) under uncultured bacterium. Its description in RNAcentral is "bacterial SSU rRNA". It matches the Rfam family "Bacterial small subunit ribosomal RNA", at positions 28 to 525 of the family's 1533-position model. The record is from RNAcentral.
GAUGAACGCUAGCGGCAGGCCUAAUACAUGCAAGACGAACGGUAAGUUGAGUAGCAAUACUUAGCCAAGAGUGUCGUACGGGUGCGUAACACGUAUGCAACCUACCCUAUACAGGAGGAUAGCCUAGGGAAACCUGGAUUAACCCUUCAUAGUAUUAUUGGAUGGCAUCAUUUGAUAAUUAAAACUGAGGUGGUAUAGGAUGGGCAUGCGUCUGAUUAGUUAGUUGGCGGGGUAAUGGCCCACCAAGACGAUGAUCAGUAGGGGUUCUGAGAGGAAGAUCCCCCACACUGGCACUGAGAUACGGGCCAGACUCCUACGGGAGGCAGCAGUAGGGAAUAUUGGUCAAUGGAUGCAAGUCUGAACCAGCCAUGCCGCGUGCAGGAAGAAGGCCCUUCUGGGGUUGUAAAACUGCUUUUGCCAGGGGAUAAAAUUUCCAUGCGUGGAAAACUGAAGGUACCUGGUGAAUAAGCCACGGCUAACUACGUGCCAGCAGCCGCGGUAAAU